AGAGAGAAGCUUGCUUCUCUUGAGAGCGGCGGACGGGUGAGUAAUGCCUAGGAAUCUGCCUGGUAGUGGGGGAUAACGUUCGGAAACGGACGCUAAUACCGCAUACGUCCUACGGGAGAAAGCAGGGGACCUUCGGGCCUUGCGCUAUCAGAUGAGCCUAGGUCGGAUUAGCUAGUUGGUGAGGUAAUGGCUCACCAAGGCGACGAUCCGUAACUGGUCUGAGAGGAUGAUCAGUCACACUGGAACUGAGACACGGUCCAGACUCCUACGGGAGGCAGCAGUGGGGAAUAUUGGACAAUGGGCGAAAGCCUGAUCCAGCCAUGCCGCGUGUGUGAAGAAGGUCUUCGGAUUGUAAAGCACUUUAAGUUGGGAGGAAGGGCAGUUACCUAAUACGUGAUUGUUUUGACGUUACCGACAGAAUAAGCACCGGCUAACUCUGUGCCAGCAGCCGCGGUAAUACAGAGGGUGCAAGCGUUAAUCGGAAUUACUGGGCGUAAAGCGCGCGUAGGUGGUUAGUUAAGUUGGAUGUGAAAUCCCCCGGGCUCAACCUGGGGAACUGCAUUCAAAACUGACUGACU
RNAcentral lists this ribosomal RNA (578 nucleotides) under Pseudomonas veronii. RNAcentral describes it as "bacterial SSU rRNA". It matches the Rfam family "Bacterial small subunit ribosomal RNA", at positions 71 to 642 of the family's 1533-position model. The record is from RNAcentral. Lineage: Bacteria; Pseudomonadati; Pseudomonadota; Gammaproteobacteria; Pseudomonadales; Pseudomonadaceae.